Molecule: ribosomal RNA, 301 nt
Filed under: uncultured bacterium
Lineage: Bacteria
Description: partial 16S ribosomal RNA
Rfam family: Bacterial small subunit ribosomal RNA
Source: RNAcentral
CAGUCGCCGCGGGAAUACGUAGGUGGCAAGCGUUGUCCGGAAUUAUUGGGCGUAAAGCGCGCGCAGGCGGCCUAUCCAGUCUGUCUUAAAAGUUCGGGGCUCAACCCCGUGAUGGGGUGGAAACUAGUAGGCUAGAGUAUCGGAGAGGAAAGCGGAAUUCCUAGUGUAGCGGUGAAAUGCGUAGAUAUUAGGAAGAACACCAGUGGCGAAGGCGGCUUUCUGGACGAAAACUGACGCUGAGGCGCGAAAGCCAGGGGAGCGAACGGGAUUAGAGACCCCCGUAGUCCCUGUCUCUUAUACA